UCUAAACGUUUUUCAGGUGGGAUAUCAGGUUGUUGCUAGUCCUCUGACAAUUCAGGAAAUGGAGAAGCCAAUGAAAUCUGACUAUGAAGUAUUUUUGAGCUUUAGAGGAGCGGAUACUCGCCGCGAUAUCACUGAUUACCUUUACCACAGCCUCAUUGAUGCCGGAAUACGAGCAUAUAUAGAUAAUGAAGAGCUUCGCAUUGGGGAAGAGAUUGGCCCAGAGCUUCUCCAAGCAAUUAAGCAGUCGAAAAUCUCGAUUCCUAUCUUCUCUAAAGAAUAUGCUGCCAGUAAAUGGUGCCUCAUGGAGUUGGUCCAGAUGGUGGAGUGCAAGGAAAAGUGGGGACAAAAGAUCAUGCCAAUAUUCUAUGACAUUGCACCAUCCGAGGUUCGUUACCAGACUGCAAGUUAUGGUGUGGCCAUUAAUUCACACAUGAAUAAGCAGCGGUACACUGAUGAGACUAUUCUGAACUGGAAGGCAGCUCUCAACAAGGUGGGAGCAUUAAAGGGAUGGGAACUCAAGGACAGAGGCAAUGGUGAGAUCACGAAAGAAGUUGUUCAGAACCUUUUGAUCGAGUUGAAAAAGAACUACUUGGCAGUGUCUAGUUGCUUGGUUGAAAUGGACUAUCAAGUGGAAAAAUCAUGGAAGUGAUAGGUGAAUAGGCUGCUGAAACAGAGAUUGUUGGUAUCCAUGGUAUGGGUGGCGUCGGAAAGACAACUCUUGCCACAUUCAUCUAUAAUAAACUGUCAGCUGAUUUCAAUAGCCGUUGCUUCCUGUCUAACGUUCGAGAUACAAACAUUGUGACUUUGCAGAAUCAGCUCAUCUCUGAUGUCCUAAAAACGAAAUGCCUGUCCAUCACUAAUAUUAACGAAGGUAUUACCGAGAUCAAGGAGAGGUUCUCCUCUAUAAAGGUCUUACUUGUACUUGACGAUGUCGACCACAAGACCCAGGUGGAUGCUCUUGUGGGGGUGGGUGAACGCCGGUUCGGCAGAGGAAGCAAGAUUAUUAUUACCACAAGAGACGGGGAACUUCUCAAAGAUGUUGAUUUGAAGCAUGAACUUACUGAAAUGGAUUUUGAUCAUUCUCUUCAACUGUUUAGCAAACAUGCCUUUAGAAGAGAUUGUCCUCCAGCAGAAUACAUCCCCCUCUCGGAAAAGGCGGUAGAAAUCUGCGGUCGUCUUCCUUUGGCCCUUGAGAUUAUAGCUUCAUUUUUAAAUGGAAAGGACAGAAAAAUAUGGGAGACCACGUUAAAGAAGCUGGAAACUAUUCCCAAUAAAGAGGUUAAAAGUAAGUUGAACAUCAGUUUCGAGGCAUUAGAACCUGAAGAGAAGGAAAUAUUUCUUGAUGUUUGUUGCUUUUUUGCUGGGUUUGAUGUGAGAAUUGUUAGUCACAUGUGGGACAGCUGUGGGUUCUUCCCUGCAUAUGCUCUUGAAGUCCUCCAACAGAAGUCAUUAAUAAAGAUUACAGAAGGCAACCGAUUGUGGAUACAUGAUCAGCUAAGAGACCUUGGGCGAGACAUCGUUUGUCAAAAUGGUAAAUUAAGACCAGAGAGGCAAAGUCGGGUGUGGGAUCAUGAGCAAGCAAAUGAUGUUCUCAUAGCAAAGGAGGGAACAGAAAACGUUGAAGCAAUACGUCUCAAGUUUGAUCAUCUCUCUCAGCGCUUCUUUAAGGAGGAAGAAUUUGCAAGUCUAUCAAACUUAAGGUUUCUUCAAGUGGAUCGUGGAUACUUGGAUAUGGACAACAUCCAGCAUUUUUCUUUAACCAACUGUUUCCAAAGGAAUCUAUCCAAGCUUCCGAAGUUGAGAUGGGUCUCAUGGCAUUACUUCGUUCGGCGUUUUCCUUUAACCAACUGGUUCCAGAGGAAUCUGCUCAUCUUUCCGGAGUUGAGAUUUCUCUCAUGGCAUGAGUUUCCCAUAUUUUCCAAUUGACUGCAUUUUCCCUUAUGAAGCUAGUGAUUCUUGAUCUAUCACAUAGCAAAAUUACAGAUGAUUGGGAGGGAUGGAACCACCUCAAGAUGGCAAAGAAUUUGAAGGUUCUAAAUUUGACCAAAUGCAGAAAGUUGCGUAGAACUCCCGACUUUUCUGCUCAUAAAAAUUUAGAGAAACUGAUUCUUCAAGGGUGUGAGGAACUGGUUCAUGCUGAUAGGUCUAUU
This is an RNA transcript of Rhodamnia argentea, 2150 nucleotides long. It is a transcript of the gene named disease resistance protein L6-like, with no coding region annotated. Lineage: Eukaryota; Viridiplantae; Streptophyta; Magnoliopsida; Myrtales; Myrtaceae. The record is from RefSeq and is a predicted model, not a curated record. The transcript is spliced from 4 exons.